UGGGAACGUACCUUUUGGUUCGGAAUAACCCCGGGAAACCGGAGCUAAUACCGGAUACGACACGCGAAGGCAUCUUCUGCGUGUAGAGAGAUUUAUCGGUCAGGGAUGGGCUCGCGGCCUAUCAGCUUGUUGGUGGGGUAACGGCCCACCAAGGCGACGAUGCGUAGCCGACCUGAGAGGGUGAUCGGCCACAUUGGAACUGAGACACGGUCCAGACUCCUACGGGAGGCAG
RNAcentral lists this ribosomal RNA (232 nucleotides) under uncultured bacterium. RNAcentral's name for it is "partial 16S ribosomal RNA". It matches the Rfam family "Bacterial small subunit ribosomal RNA", at positions 118 to 351 of the family's 1533-position model. The record is from RNAcentral.